This 492-nucleotide ribosomal RNA is filed under the name uncultured bacterium. RNAcentral describes it as "partial 16S ribosomal RNA". It matches the Rfam family "Bacterial small subunit ribosomal RNA", at positions 29 to 507 of the family's 1533-position model. The record is from RNAcentral.
AGUGAACGCUGGCGGUAGGCCUAACACAUGCAAGUCGAACGGCAGCACAGUAAGAGCUUGCUCUUACGGGUGGCGAGUGGCGGACGGGUGAGGAAUACAUCGGAAUCUACUUUUUCGUGGGGGAUAACGUAGGGAAACUUACGCUAAUACCGCAUACGACCUACGGGUGAAAGCAGGGGAUCUUCGGACCUUGCGCGAUUGAAUGAGCCGAUGUCGGAUUAGCUAGUUGGCGGGGUAAAGGCCCACCAAGGCGGCGAUCCGUAGCUGGUCUGUGAGGAUGAUCAGCCACACUGGAACUGAGACACGGUCCAGACUCCUACGGGAGGCAGCAGUGGGGAAUAUUGGACAAUGGGCGCAAGCCUGAUCCAGCCAUACCGCGUGGGUGAAGAAGGCCUUCGGGUUGUAAAGCCCUUUUGUUGGGAAAGAAAAGCAGCAGGUUAAUACCCCGCUGUUCUGACGGUACCCAAAGAAUAAGCACCGGCUAACUUCGUG